RNAcentral lists this long non-coding RNA (6147 nucleotides) under Fragaria vesca (wild strawberry). Its description in RNAcentral is "long non-coding RNA (FVES_LNC002160)". The record is from RNAcentral. Lineage: Eukaryota; Viridiplantae; Streptophyta; Magnoliopsida; Rosales; Rosaceae.
GAUCUCUUUGUCUUGACAGAAGUGAUUAGAAAUAGUCACCUUAUUCAACGCCUUGCCAUGCUUCACCAAGUACAUUGCAACUUCCAUGUCAUCUGGACACCCCUGAAAAUCCCAUAGGCAAAUAGUCUUGAGGUGUGAAAUCAAACAAACAGGCACAGACUCUGGUUCGUCCCAUCCAGGUUCAAGCUCACCCUCAUCGACAUUGGCAUACAUCUGUUUCCUAUUCCGUGAUAUCUUCAGAUGCACCAAAUGUGGAGAUAUUUUGAGCACAGUUGCCAGUGAUUGCAGACUUCGACAAGUAUGAAGCUGUAGUUCCAAGUAGUUCAAAUUAUUAAACAUAGGCAGAAGAUGUUGAUGUCCAACGUCAAGGGCCUAUAGAUAUGAUGAAGUAAAUAGGUCAGUCAACAAUAGCAAAACCAAACAGUUCCUUGUCAUCAUCAGGUCACAUUCAUUUGAGAAAUUCCAGCACAUAGACAAAAAGGGUGUCAAACACUGCAUGAACAAGUAGCAUACUUACCGUCAGAAGUGGAGUAUUAACUGUCAGGUACUUAGCAUCACAAAUUCCAGCGAAAAUCUGACGUAUGCGAUCAGCUAGGCCAAGGAAACGAUCAUGCUUCUUAAGCUCUUGCACACAAAAGAAUCCUAUAUUCGCUUUGUGUAGACAUUUGGCGUUCUUCAAAGAAAAGCUCACCAGAGCAUCAAAGCAGAUAUCUAUCUCUUCAAGAUUUGGAGCAUCAACAUUAACGAAAAUUUGGCAUACAAAGUCAUUAGCAGCAAAAUUCAUACCAUACUUACGGACAUUUAGCUCAAUUUGUAGUCUCUUCAGUUUGGGUGCAGAUAUGUCAAGAUUGAAAGCUGUUGUGUAUAUAAGCUCUCCAUCUAUAAUCAGCUCUUCAAGCACAGGUAAACGAGAAAAGAGCUUCUCCAUUGAGUCAGAAUCAGGACAACGAACUGUAACAUGAAGGAACUUGAGGCUCGGGAAACAAUUUGAACUAGUAGGAGUCAUGACCCUAAUAUUUUCAUGCAGCCACAACUUGAAAUGGACCAAUGUGCUGCACAUGAAAAGGCUUUUGGGGAUCUCAAAACAUGGGUCUGAAAGUGUGCUGACAGUAAGAUCAAGCUCCACAACAUUACGCCUAAUGGCAGUGGAAAUCCAAGCAUAAACAAGAGAAACAUCAUCCAUCCCCUUAGUGAAAAGACGGAACCUAUGAAUGUCUCCCGAGCAACGAAACAAAAGCACACGAGUCACAAACUGUGCAAACCAAUCCGGGUUAUCUUCGGGAUAUAUAUGCGUAUCAUGUUCUUCCUCAUCUAAAUCUAGAACGGGAACAGAAGCCCACACAUUCUUCCAUCUAUGAGACAAAACACUGGUCUGUACAGCCUCUCUGGUGAAAAGGAAGGAGAGAAUGUGGCAAAGAACUGCAUCUGGCAUCCCACUGAUCCUAUCUUCAGUUCUUCCUUUGUGAUGCACUAAACUUGAAGCCAUUUAUGAUGUGAACUUCUCUGGCAAAAACCCAAAUACAACAAUGUGAAUUCUGUGGCAUAAACUGAGAAAAGUUAUGAUCUUUGGAUGAUCACCCCCACCAUCAAACUGGAGACAUUGAUUUUCACUCCUAGGAAACAAUUUAACACGAAUUCCUCAGAAAAUCUAUCACCAUUGUAAAGAACAUAACUUUCUUCUUAGAAUUUGUAUUUCUUUGUCAGAAUUUUUCUAAAAGUUGAUUACUUUAACACAAACUCAUAAGAAUUAAAGUUCAUGAAUCCUAGAUGUACAAACGAGUAAAGAACUCAGAAACAUAGAGCAAGUACCUGAAGUAGUGGACCCAGUUCUCGCUUCAGUGCUCUGAACUGGUUUGCCGUGUUUGGUUGCUCAGAAACAAAGACAUACAAAGCAACAACAACAAACUUCAGUUGUUUGUGAUAACUGACUCUUGAGAUUAUGAUUCCUCGUUCUGCUUAUUACUCGGGUCUUUUUUAUGGUUUUAAGUGGUGGACCCGUAGCCCGUAGAAGCCCAUUACGGCCCAGAUCGACAUUGCCAAUAACAAGCUAUGUUCAUAAUCUCAAUCCAUCUAGGUUCCUGCUGCAAGGGUUUGUGGUGUGAUUUUUCGAGGUUGCAUAUAUGAUCGAUUUUCUCAUACUCAGUAUUCUCCUCUCUUUUAGUUCUUGUUCCUAACGAAAAACAGAGGACUAACAAAAGAGUUAAGGUAGAAAAGAUUUCGAAAACAGAAGUACCUGAAUGGUUAUGACGUAUGAGAAGUGGAGCUAAUUGGUUAAAUAAGUAGGAGCAGCCAGGGCUGAGACGGACAGAAGAAAAUAAACCACAAAAGGAAAUAGAAGAUAGCAAUACUUAAAAAUAGACAUGCACAUAAAUAAACUCAUGUUCCAUCCCAGAGAAACAUCCAUUGAAAAUGAUCGUCUUUAACCCCUUGGGAACUGACAAGUUAGAAAUCAGGAAGACCGAAAUUAAAACACUUGACAAUCUGUAUCAAAUGAUUGUCUGAAAUUCAAUCUCACAUGUCUUGGAACCCCUUGGAAACUUUGAAACAUUCGACCAUAAGGCAGUAGCAGACUGUGACUUCAUCUCUUUGUUUUCACAAAAGGGAGUAUGAAUAGUCACCCUAUUCAAAGCCUUGCCAUGCUGCACCAAGUACUUGGCGACUUCCAUGUCAUCUGGACACCCCUUGAAAUCCCAUAGGCAAAUAGUCUUGAGGUGUGAAAUCAAACAAACAGGCACCGUCUCUGGUGCAUCCCAUUCCGGUUCAACCUCAUCCUCAUCGACAUCAUCAGAAUAGUUAUUCUCCUAGAAAUGAGUUAAAAUGAAAUCUUUCUAAAUUACACAGGUAUCAUGUAAGGGUAGUUCCGGAUAUACUUACAUUGGCAUACAUAUGUUUCCUUUUCAGUAAUAUCUUCAGUUGCUCCAAAUGUGGUGAUAUCUUGAGCACAGUUGCCAGCGAUUGCAAACAUCGACAAGUAUGAAGCUGUAGCUCCAAGUAGUUCAAAUUAUUAAACGUAGGCAGAAGAUAUUGAUGUCCAAUGUCAAGGGCCUAUAGAUAUGAUGAACUAAACAGGUCAGUCAACAAAUAGCAAAACUAAACACAUCCUUGUCAUAACGUUGAUGUAGAUUCAUAUAGUUAACAUUCUAUGGGAAGUUCCAGCACAUGGAGGAAAAAAGCUAUUAACCACCACAAGAAAAGUAGCAUACUUACCGCCAACAAUGGAGCUUUUACUGUCAGGUACUUAGCAUCAUAGAUUCCUGCAAAAAUCUGAUGUAUGCGAUCAGCAAGGCCAAGGAAAUAAUCAUGCUUUUUCAGCUCUUCCACAUAAAAGAAAUCUAUCUUGGCUUUGCGUAGACAUUUGGCAUUCUUCAAAGAAAAGCUCACCAGAGGAUCAAAGCAGAUAUCUAACUCUUCAAGAUUUGGAGCAUCAACAUUAACGAAAAUUUGGCACACAUAAUUUACAAAGUUAGCAAAAUGCAUAUCAUGCUUAAAGACUCUGAGCUCAGUUUGUAGUCUCUUUAGUUUGGGUGCAGAUAUAUCAAGAUUGGAAGUUGUUGACUCUACAAAGUUUCCAUCUAUAAUCAGCUCUUCAAGCACAGGUAAACGAGAAAAGAGCUUCUCCAUUGAGUCAGAAUCAGGAAAAUGAACUGUAACAUGAAGGAACUUGAGGCUCGGGAAACAAUUUGAACUAGUAGGAAUCAUGACCCUAAUACCUCUAUGCAGCCACAACUUGAAACGGACCAAUGUGCUACACAUGAAAAGGCUUUUGGGGAUCUCAAAAGGUGGCACUGUACUUCUUUGGACAGUAAGAUCAAACUCCACAACAUUACGCCUAAUGGCAGUGGAAAUCCAAGCAUAGAUAAGAGAAACAUCAUCCAUACCAUUAGUGGAAAGACGGAACCUAUGAAUGUCUCCCGAGCAACGAAACAUAAGCACACGAUUCACAAACUGUGCAAAACAAUCCUCCGGGUUAUAUAAUGGCUGAUUCAUAUCCGCAUCAUAUUCUUCCUCAUCUAAAUCUAGAACAGGAACAGAAGCCCAGACAUUCUUCCAUCUAUGAGAUAAAACACUGGUCUUUACAGCCUCUGUGGUGAAAAGGGAGGAGAGAAUGUGGCAAAGAACUGCAUCUGGCAUCCCACUGAUCCUAUCUUCAAUUCUUACUUUGUGAUGCAUUAAAUUUGAAGCCAUCAAUGUGAAUUCUGUGGCUUAACUUGUAAAAAGUUAUGAUCUUUGGAUGACUAUCCUCACCAUCAAACUGGAGACAUUAAUUUUCACUCCUAUGAAACAAUUCAACACAAAUUCCUCAGGAAAUCUAUCACCAUAUUGUAAAGGGCAUAACUUUCUUCUCAGAAUUUGUAUCUUUGUCAGAAUAUUUCUAAAAGUUUAUUACUUUAACACAAACUCAUAAGAAUUAAAGUUCAUGAAUCCUAGAUAUACAAACGAGUAAAGAACUCAGAAACAAAGAGCAAGUACCUGAAAUAGUGGACCCAUUUCUCGCUUCAGUGAUCUGAAGUCUGAACCGGUUUACCGUAUUUGGUUGCUUAGAAACGAAGAAAUACAAAGGACGAAGGUGUGUGAUAACUGAGACUGAGGUUAUGGAGAAUCGUUUCAAAAAAUAAAAAUAAAAAAAGGUAAGGAGAAUUGGGCUAGGCGGAGACUUAGGCUGGCUAGGCGGAACCUAGUUGGACUGUGCCUGCGCCAGUUGGUUGGUCCACUUUAAAGGGGGAAAAAAACAAACUGAGGGACUAUCUCUUCCUGUGAGAAAGCAAUGUCAUUGCUUACAAUUUGCAUUCUUUAUAGGAUAGCUCACCAAGAAAUCGAACCUCAUCAGUUCAUAAUUUACAGAACUAUUAGCAGCACAUCUGAUUUUGAUGCAGAGAUUUCUCUAAGCAGAAUCGUUCCGACGUCCCCAAGCUUUCCUUCCUAUCUAUAAUAGUGCACGUUUGCAUUACACCUCAAUUUUCAACACUGUACUAGACUCAUGUAGACUGCCUUAAUUUAUACUAAUACUGAGCCAUGUUUAGUGGUGCACUGGACUAAUUUUCAACUUCAUGAUAAUUUCUUGUAUCAAUCUCUUCAUGCUUCCUAUUUAUCAACCAGGAAAUAAUCGUUGUAAUUCGCAGAAAACCAAGAGCCUUGAGAGAUAAAGAAAUUGAUGAGGAGGAGGAAGAUCAGAAGAGCUGAAAUCAAUCUUAUCUUGGGAGAGCAAGUGAGAGAGGAAGGAGGAGAGAGAUGGUGUUGGCAAGGGGUGUCAGAAUGGAGUACCCACGCUAAGACCCCUAAGGAGGACAAAUGAAAACACAGGUCCAACUUAAGCCCAUUUAUUUUAGUACCUAUUGACACCAAACAAAGGAUUAGCCAACUUGGACUCCUUAUUUAACACAGUCCUAGUUAGUACUAGGAAACAAACAUGCACAGAGUCCUCAAGUACAUGAAACAACUGUGAUCCAAGUGAAAACAGUCCCAGACUUUCAUCUGAAGCUGAGCAAACAUAUUAAGUCACACAUUACGCAAAGCAACUAUGGAAACUCCUCAGAGAUUACGUCGUAAAAUACCAUCACUUAAUAAGUAGGUGCAGCAGGGCUGAGAUGGAUGGAACAAAAAAAACCAUAAAAGAAAAAAAAGAAGACAGCAAUACUCAAAAACAGACGUACACAUAAAUAAACUCACGUUCCAUUCCCAGAGAAAUAUCCAUUGAAAANNNNNNNNNNNNNNNNNNNNAAAAAANAAAAAAAAAAAAAAAAACCCGGGGAAACUCGGGAAGUUAGAGAUCAAAAAGGCAGAAAUGAAAACACUUGCUUAGUUAAAUGUACAAAAGUGCAUAUGAGGUUAUAUUCCCAAAGAAGAAUCAAACCAUUGUCUCAAACUGAAUCUUACAAGUCUCGGAACCCCUGGGGAAGUUUGAAAAUUUUGACCAUAAGGCAAUAGUAGACCGUAGCUCCAUCUCUUCGUUACUGAAGUGAUUAUAAAUAGUCACCUUAUUCAAAGCCUUGCCAUGCUUCACCAAGUACAUUGCAACUUCCAUGUCAUCUGGACACCCCUGAAAAUCCCAUAGGCAAAUAGUCUUGAGGUGUGAAAUCAAACAAACAGGCACAGACUCUGGUGCAUCCCAUCCGUGUUCAAGCUCGACAUCAUCACAGUAGCUUUUCU